GCGCUCUUAGUUCAGUUCGGUAAGAACGCGGGUCCCAAAACCCGAUGUCGUAGGUUCAAAUCUACAGAGCGUG
RNAcentral lists this transfer RNA (73 nucleotides) under Hordeum vulgare. RNAcentral describes it as "tRNA-OTHER". It matches the Rfam family "tRNA". Rfam says of the family: Transfer RNA (tRNA) molecules are approximately 80 nucleotides in length. Their secondary structure includes four short double-helical elements and three loops (D, anti-codon, and T loops). Lineage: Eukaryota; Viridiplantae; Streptophyta; Magnoliopsida; Poales; Poaceae. The record is from RNAcentral.